Molecule: antisense RNA, 145 nt
Filed under: Helianthus annuus (common sunflower)
Lineage: Eukaryota; Viridiplantae; Streptophyta; Magnoliopsida; Asterales; Asteraceae
Description: Antisense RNA which regulates isiA expression
Rfam family: Antisense RNA which regulates isiA expression
Source: RNAcentral
AAUAAUCAAAUAUAAUAAUUGGGCUAAGCGUCAAGUUGGUAAUUAUUUUUUUACAUCUCCUCCUAUGGGAACCCAUGUAUCAUACAACCCCCCCCCCCCCCCCCCAGAAUAAAGAGCAUUGGGCACGAGAAGAAAAGCCCUAAGC